CCACCCGAGACUCAGUGAAAUUGAACUCGCUGUGAAGAUGCAGUGUACCCGCGGCAAGACGGAAAGACCCCGUGAACCUUUACUAUAGCUUGACACUGAACAUUGAGCCUUGAUGUGUAGGAUAGGUGGGAGGCUUUGAAGUGUGGACGCCAGUCUGCAUGGAGCCGACCUUGAAAUACCACCCUUUAAUGUUUGAUGUUCUAACGUGGACCCGUUACCCGGGUUGCGGACAGUGUCUGGUGGGUAGUUUGACUGGGGCGGUCUCCUCCUAAAGAGUAACGGAGGAGCACGAAGGUUGGCUAAUCCUGGUCGGACAUCAGGAGGUUAGUGCAAUGGCAUAAGCCAGCUUGACUGCGAGCGUGACGGCGCGAGCAGGUGCGAAAGCAGGUCAUAGUGAUCCGGUGGUUCUGAAUGGAAGGGCCAUCGCUCAACGGAUAAAAGGUACUCCGGGGAUAACAGGCUGAUACCGCCCAAGAGUUCAUAUCGACGGCGGUGUUUGGCACCUCGAUGUCGGCUCAUCACAUCCUGGGGCUGAAGUAGGUCCCAAGGGUAUGGCUGUUCGCCAUUUAAAGUGGUACGCGAGCUGGGUUUAGAACGUCGUGAGACAGUUCGGUCCCUAUCUGCCGUGGGCGCUGGAGAACUGAGGGGGGCUGCUCCUAGUACGAGAGGACCGGAGUGGACGCAUCACUGGUGUUCGGGUUGUCAUGCCAAUGGCACUGCCCGGUAGCUAAAUGCGGAAGAGAUAAGUGCUGAAAGCAUCUAAGCACGAAACUUGCCCCGAGAUGAGUUCUCCCUGAGACUUAAAGUCUCCUGAA
Molecule: ribosomal RNA, 815 nt
Filed under: Salmonella enterica subsp. enterica serovar Enteritidis
Lineage: Bacteria; Pseudomonadati; Pseudomonadota; Gammaproteobacteria; Enterobacterales; Enterobacteriaceae
Description: partial 23S ribosomal RNA
Rfam family: Bacterial large subunit ribosomal RNA
Source: RNAcentral